GAAAGCCGUGUGCAAUGAAAAAUGCAAGCACGGUUUGGGGAGGGAUUUUUUAUUCUUUAACCUAUUUUUUUUAACAAGGAAAUUAUCUACUCCAU
Corchorus capsularis is the source of this 95-nucleotide non-coding RNA. The record is from Rfam. Lineage: Eukaryota; Viridiplantae; Streptophyta; Magnoliopsida; Malvales; Malvaceae.